AGCAGUAUUGAACUGAAGAGUUUGAUCAUGGCUCAGAUUGAACGCUGGCGGCAGGCCUAACACAUGCAAGUCGAGCGGAUGAAGGGAGCUUGCUCCUGGAUUCAGCGGCGGACGGGUGAGUAAUGCCUAGGAAUCUGCCUGGUAGUGGGGGAUAACGUCCGGAAACGGGCGCUAAUACCGCAUACGUCCUGAGGGAGAAAGUGGGGGAUCU
RNAcentral lists this ribosomal RNA (211 nucleotides) under Pseudomonas aeruginosa. RNAcentral's name for it is "partial 16S ribosomal RNA". It matches the Rfam family "Bacterial small subunit ribosomal RNA", at positions 1 to 213 of the family's 1533-position model. The record is from RNAcentral. Lineage: Bacteria; Pseudomonadati; Pseudomonadota; Gammaproteobacteria; Pseudomonadales; Pseudomonadaceae.